Molecule: ribosomal RNA, 253 nt
Filed under: uncultured bacterium
Lineage: Bacteria
Description: partial 16S ribosomal RNA
Rfam family: Bacterial small subunit ribosomal RNA
Source: RNAcentral
GACAGAGGGUGCAAACGUUGUUCGGAAUGACUGGGCGUAAAGCGCGUGUAGGCGGCUCGGCAAGUCGGAUGUGAAAGCCCUGGGCUCAACCCAGGAAGUGCACUCGAAACUGCCGAGCUGGAGUCCCGGAGAGGAAGGCGGAAUUCUCGGUGUAGAGGUGAAAUUCGUAGAUAUCGAGAGGAACACCGGUGGCGAAGGCGGCCUUCUGGACGGCGACUGACGCUGAGACGCGAAAGCGUGGGGAGCAAACGGG